GUCUUUUUGUUAUUUAUUAUAAGGUCUGACCUGCCCACUGAAAUUAUUUUGAAGGGCCGCAGUAUUUUGACUGUGCAAAGGUAGCAUAAUCAUUAGUCUUUUAAUUGAAGGCUGGUAUGAAUGGUUGGAUGAGGUGCAUGCUGUUUCAUAAAAAAUAAAGAUUGAAUUUAUCAUUUUAGUUAAAAGACUGAAAUUUUUUUAAAAGACGAGAAGACCCUAUAGAGCUUUAUAUAAGUAGUAUCUAAUUUAUUAAGAUUUUUUAAAUUUAGUUAUUUAUUUAUAUUUUGUUGGGGUGACAAUAAAAUCUAUAAAACUUUUAUUUUUAUUUAACAUUAAUUUAUGAGUAAAUGAUCCAGUUUUAUUGAUUAUAAAUUUAAGUUACCUUAGGGAUAACAGCGUAAUUUUUUUUGAGAGUUCUUAUCGACAAAAAAGAUUGCGACCUCGAUGUUGGAUUAAGAGUAAUUUUGGGUGUAGAAGUUCAAAGUUUAAGUCUGUUCGACUUUUAAAUUCUUACAU
Molecule: ribosomal RNA, 516 nt
Filed under: Simulium aureohirtum
Lineage: Eukaryota; Metazoa; Arthropoda; Insecta; Diptera; Simuliidae
Description: partial 16S ribosomal RNA
Rfam family: Bacterial large subunit ribosomal RNA
Source: RNAcentral